UGAGGAAUAUAGCGCAAUGGGGGAAACCCUGACGCAGCAACGCCGCGUGGGUGAAGAAGGCCUUCGGGUCGUAAAGCCCUUUCGGACGGGACGAAAGUUCCGCGGGGAUGAUCCGCGGAGCCUGACGGUACCGUAGGAAGAAGCACCGGCUAACUCCGUGCCAGCAGCCGCGGUAAUACGGAGGGUGCAAGCGUUGUUCGGAAUUACUGGGCGUAAAGCGCGUGUAGGCGGCCUUGUAAGUCAGAUGUGAAAGCCCUCGGCUCAACCGGGGAAGUGCAUCUGAAACGGCAAGGCUUGAGUACGGGAGAGGGAGGCGGAAUUCCCAGUGUAGAGGUGAAAUUCGUAGAUAUUGGGAGGAACACCGGUGGCGAAAGCGGCCUCCUGGACCGAUACUGACGCUGAGACGCGAAAGCGUGGGGAGCAAACAGGAUUAGAUACCCUGGUAGUCCACGCGGUAAACGAUGGGCACUAGGUGUGGGGGGUAUCCACUCCUCCCGUGCCGCAGCUAACGCAUUAAGUGCCCCGCCUGGGGAGUACGGCCGCAAGGCUA
Molecule: ribosomal RNA, 550 nt
Filed under: uncultured bacterium
Lineage: Bacteria
Description: bacterial SSU rRNA
Rfam family: Bacterial small subunit ribosomal RNA
Source: RNAcentral